AUCCAGAUCGAGCACCCCUCCUCCUCCCUUCCAGAUCGCAGCCGCCACCUCCUACCCACCGUCCCACCCAUCCUCUGCACCUCCGCUCGUCGCGCCCUUCCUCCGCUACUCCACCCCUCCGCCGUCGCCGCCCAGUACCGCUCCACCUCCUCGGUGCGCCGCAGUGCCCCUUCCUCCUCCUCCUCGGCGUGGCGCGGCGGCAAUGCCUCCGCCGGCCGCGGGGACGCGGUGCGCGCGAGGGUGGCGGGGGCAGCCGCGCCGGUGACCGAGGCGACGACGGC
RNAcentral lists this long non-coding RNA (281 nucleotides) under Hordeum vulgare. RNAcentral describes it as "long non-coding RNA (HVUL_LNC017662)". The record is from RNAcentral. Lineage: Eukaryota; Viridiplantae; Streptophyta; Magnoliopsida; Poales; Poaceae.